Molecule: ribosomal RNA, 253 nt
Filed under: uncultured bacterium
Lineage: Bacteria
Description: partial 16S ribosomal RNA
Rfam family: Bacterial small subunit ribosomal RNA
Source: RNAcentral
UACAGAGGAUGCAAGCGUUAUCCGGAAUGAUUGGGCGUAAAGCGUCCGCAGGUGGUUUUGUAAGUCUGCUGUUAAAGCGUUAGGCUCAACCUAAUAAGGGCAGUGGAAACUAUGAGACUAGAGUAUGUUAGGGGUAGAGGGAAUUCCCAGUGUAGCGGUGAAAUGCGUAGAGAUUGGGAAGAACACCGGUGGCGAAAGCGCUCUGCUAGGACAAUACUGACACUGAGGGACGAAAGCGAGGGGAGCGAAUGGG